RNAcentral lists this long non-coding RNA (323 nucleotides) under Citrus sinensis (sweet orange). Its description in RNAcentral is "long non-coding RNA (CSIN_LNC004017)". Lineage: Eukaryota; Viridiplantae; Streptophyta; Magnoliopsida; Sapindales; Rutaceae. The record is from RNAcentral.
UUUUGUUCACUUUGCCUCGUUGAGGUAAAGGUGUCUUUUCAUUCACUUUGCUUUGUUGAGGUACAGGCGUCUUUUCCUUCACUUUGCUUCGUUGAGGUACAGGUGUCAUUACCUUCACUUUGUCUUGUUGAGGUAAAGGUGUCUUUUCCUUCACUUUGCUUCGUUGAGGUAUAGGCGUCUUUUCCUUCACUUUGUCUCGGAGAGGUACAUACAGUGGCGAUGGUCUUCUCUUGGGAAACCUGAAUUUCCUGUAGAACAUUAUAUAGCAAUCCAGUUAGUCAAUGAUAAAACUAACCCUAAAAUCGAACACUAAUCCAAAUGAC